This 1071-nucleotide ribosomal RNA is filed under the name Boana prasina (Burmeister's treefrog). Its description in RNAcentral is "partial 16S ribosomal RNA". It matches the Rfam family "Archaeal large subunit ribosomal RNA", at positions 925 to 2666 of the family's 2987-position model. Lineage: Eukaryota; Metazoa; Chordata; Amphibia; Anura; Hylidae. The record is from RNAcentral.
AGCUGGUUACUUGAUAAAAGAAUCUUAGUUCUACCUAAAGCCCAAAUAAAGUUCUAUUAACUAACACUUAUGCUUUAGAGUUAUUCAAAUAAGGUACAGCCUAUUUGAAUAAGGAGACAACCUAAACUAAUGGGUAAGAUAUUUACAAUGUGCCAAAGUGGGCCUAAAAGCAGCCACCUUAAACAACAGCGUCAAAGCUUCUCUACACAAGUAUGUUCAAUUUUUCACCUCAGCUCAAACCCUUUAUUUUCAUCAAGUAAUUCUAUACACCUAUAGAACAUAAAAUGUUAAAACUAGUAACAAGAAGUAAACCCUUCUCUUAAAUGCGAGUGUAAGCCAGAAAGGAUAAACCACUGUCAACUAACACUAAUGAUUUUUAAUUAACAACACCACAAGAAAACCCUAAUAAAACAAAUGUUAAACUAACACAAGAGCAUUUCAAGAAAGAUUAAAAGAAAAAGAAGGAACUCGGCAAACACCAACCCCGCCUGUUUACCAAAAACAUCGCCUCUUGACUAAUAUAAGAGGUCCAGCCUGCCCAGUGACCUAGUUCAACGGCCGCGGUAUCCUAACCGUGCGAAGGUAGCGUAAUCACUUGUUCUUUAAAUGAGGACUAGUAUGAAUGGCAUCACGAGGGUUACACUGUCUCCUUUUUUUGAUCAGUGAAACUAAUCUCCCCGUGAAGAAGCGGGGAUAUUUUUAUAAGACGAGAAGACCCUAUGGAGCUUUAAACAAAUUAACACCUGCUGCUCAAAAUGACUUUUUCGGAAAUACAAAACAUAGCAUAGCAUGAUGAUUAAUAGUUUUUGAUUGGGGUGAUCACGGAGUAAAAAGUAACCUCCAUGCCGGAAGGGUUCUUCCCUGAGCAAAAAACCACAAUUUUAAGCACUAAAAAAUUAACGUUUAUUGACCCAAUAUUUUGAUCAACGAACCAAGUUACCCUAGGGAUAACAGCGCAAUCCACUUCAAGAGCUCAUAUCGACAAGUGGGUUUACGACCUCGAUGUUGGAUCAGGGUAUCCCAGUGGUGCAGCCGCUACUAACGGUUCGUUUGUUCAACGAUUAAAACCCU